GACGAACGCUGGCGGCGUGCUUAACACAUGCAAGUCGAACGGAAAGGCCCUGCUUUUGUGGGGUGCUCGAGUGGCGAACGGGUGAGUAACACGUGAGUAACCUGCCCUUGACUUUGGGAUAACUUCAGGAAACUGGGGCUAAUACCGGAUAGGAGCUCCUGCUGCAUGGUGGGGGUUGGAAAGUUUCGGCGGUUGGGGAUGGACUCGCGGCUUAUCAGCUUGUUGGUGGGGUAGUGGCUUACCAAGGCUUUGACGGGUAGCCGGCCUGAGAGGGUGACCGGCCACAUUGGGACUGAGAUACGGCCCAGACUCCUACGGGAGGCAGUGGGGAAUAUUGCACAAUGGGCGGAAGCCUGAUGCAGCAACGCCGCGUGCGGGAUGACGGCCUUCGGGUUGUAAACCGCUUUCGCCUGUGACGAAGCGUGAGUGACGGUAAUGGGUAAAGAAGCACCGGCUAACUACGUG
Molecule: ribosomal RNA, 465 nt
Filed under: uncultured bacterium
Lineage: Bacteria
Description: partial 16S ribosomal RNA
Rfam family: Bacterial small subunit ribosomal RNA
Source: RNAcentral